Molecule: small nuclear RNA, 249 nt
Filed under: Oryctolagus cuniculus (rabbit)
Lineage: Eukaryota; Metazoa; Chordata; Mammalia; Lagomorpha; Leporidae
Description: 7SK RNA
Rfam family: 7SK RNA
About the family: 7SK was discovered as an abundant small nuclear RNA in the mid-70s but a possible function has only recently been suggested. Two independent studies have found that 7SK RNA binds the CDK9/cyclin T complex (known as elongation factor P-TEFb). P-TEFb activates transcription by phosphorylating the C-terminal domain of RNA polymerase II.
Source: Rfam by way of RNAcentral
GGAUGUGAGGGCCACCUGGCUGCGACCAUCUGUCAUUCCACUGAUUGCCAAGGUUGAUUCUGCUGGUCUGGCUGGCCAGGCAGGUGUCCCUUCCUCCCUCCAGGUGCAUCCCUCUCGAAGCUGCGCACUCAAAGAGGACGACCUUCCCUGCUGGAGGAAGGCUGGUCUUCCGUCAAGGGUAUACGAGCAGCUGUGUCUUCUCCCAACCCCACUAGAACCUCCAAACAGGCUCUCAAGUUUUGCCUUAUU